AUUGAACGCUGGCGGAAUGCUUUACACAUGCAAGUCGAGCGGCAGCGCGGGGGCGAACCCUGGCGGCGAGCGGCGAACGGGUGAGUAAUACAUCGGAACGUGUCCUUAAGUGGGGAGUAGCUCGGCGAAAGCCGGAUUAAUACCGCAUAAGCUCUGAGGAGGAAAGCGGGGGAUUCGCAAGGACCUCGCGCUGUUGGAGCGGCCGAUGUCGGAUUAGCUAGUUGGUGGGGUAAAGGCCCACCAAGGCGACGAUCCGUAGCUGGUCUGAGAGGAUGAUCAGCCACACUGGAACUGAGACACGGUCCAGACUCCUACGGGAGGCAGCAGUGGGGAAUUUUGGACAAUGGGGGCAACCCUGAUCCAGCCAUUCCGCGUGAGUGAAGAAGGCCUUCGGUUGUAAGACUC
RNAcentral lists this ribosomal RNA (405 nucleotides) under uncultured bacterium. RNAcentral describes it as "bacterial SSU rRNA". It matches the Rfam family "Bacterial small subunit ribosomal RNA", at positions 29 to 433 of the family's 1533-position model. The record is from RNAcentral.